UKAGUAGGGCUGUGAUCUACAUUAUGGGAGGAGCAUCCUAGCAAUAUGCUAUGCUGUAUUUAAUUCAACCGGGAUCAUGGAAAAUGAAGGUUACGCUCUACGUUAGCUUGUUACUUCAGACUAUCCGUUCGUAACGAUUUGGCGCUCGGGCCACGUGGAGUGAUACAUUUACCGUUUAACAAUUUGUAAUUAUGACCUUCAUGUUAUCGCUUUGGUAUUCACAACGACAUCASCUUUGUUUACCGUCGCGACAGUGAAAACAUUGAGCUGACUACCACGUUUCUCGUCACUACAAGUUUGAACCGAACCCCAUAGCACAGGAUGAAGAACCGGACAGACGCCCCGCGUGAUAGGGGCUGGUUGGUGGGGAUCACCUUCUUCAUUCUGGGCCUCGGGACACUGCUACCAUGGAAUUUCUUUAUGACCGCCUCCAUGUAUUUCAAUAGACGCCUCAACAAGGAAGAAUGGAGGCCAACGGCAGGU
This is a long non-coding RNA of Salvelinus sp. IW2-2015, 483 nucleotides long. RefSeq lists it as uncharacterized. NCBI's taxonomy places the organism in Eukaryota, Metazoa, Chordata, Actinopteri, Salmoniformes, Salmonidae. The record is from RefSeq and is a predicted model, not a curated record.